UACGAAGGGGGCUAGCGUUGUUCGGAAUUACUGGGCGUAAAGCGCACGUAGGCGGACAUUUAAGUCAGGGGUGAAAUCCCAGAGCUCAACUCUGGAACUGCCUUUGAUACUGGGUGUCUUGAGUAUGGAAGAGGUGAGUGGAAUUCCGAGUGUAGAGGUGAAAUUCGUAGAUAUUCGGAGGAACACCGGUGGCGAAGGCGGCAUCCUGGACCAACACUGACGCUGAGUGAGCGAAAGCCAGGGGAGCAAACGGG
RNAcentral lists this ribosomal RNA (254 nucleotides) under uncultured bacterium. Its description in RNAcentral is "partial 16S ribosomal RNA". It matches the Rfam family "Bacterial small subunit ribosomal RNA", at positions 524 to 776 of the family's 1533-position model. The record is from RNAcentral.